RNAcentral lists this ribosomal RNA (789 nucleotides) under Asterostroma muscicola. RNAcentral describes it as "partial large subunit ribosomal RNA". It matches the Rfam family "Eukaryotic large subunit ribosomal RNA", at positions 77 to 893 of the family's 3401-position model. Lineage: Eukaryota; Fungi; Basidiomycota; Agaricomycetes; Russulales; Lachnocladiaceae. The record is from RNAcentral.
CCCCUAGUAACUGCGAGUGAAGCGGGAAGAGCUCAAAUUUAAAAUCUGGCAGUUUUUGAAGCUGUCCGAGUUGUAAUUUAGAGAAGUGUUUUCUGUGCCAGACUGUGUACAAGUCUCCUGGAAUGGAGCGUCAUAGAGGGUGAGAAUCCCGUCUUUGACACAGAACCCUGGUGCUAUGUGAUACACUCUCGAAGAGUCGAGUUGUUUGGGAAUGCAGCUCAAAAUGGGUGGUGAACUCCAUCUAAAGCUAAAUAUUGGCGAGAGACCGAUAGCGAACAAGUACCGUGAGGGAAAGAUGAAAAGCACUUUGGAAAGAGAGUGAAACAGUACGUGAAAUUGCUGAAAGGGAAACGCUUGAAGUCAGUCGCAUCUGCUAGAACUCAGCCUUCUUUGGUGUAUUUUCUAGUUGGAUGGGCCAGCAUCACUUUUGGCUGCUGGAAAAGGGCGGAAGGAAUGUGGCACCUUUAGGUGUGUUAUAGCCUUCUGUCAUAUACAGUUGCUGGGAGUGAGGAAUGCCUUUGUAGGAUGCUGGCAUAAUGGCUUUAAACGACCCGUCUUGAAACACGGACCAAGGAGUCUAACAUGCAUGCAAGUGUUUGGGUGUAAAACCCAUGCGCGCAAUGAAAGUGAAAAUUGGGAAGGCCUAGCCUGCACCGAUGCCCGGACUUGAGAUUUAUCGACAGUUCUGCGGUAGAGCAUGUAUGUUAGGACCCGAAAGAUGGUGAACUAUGCCUGAAUAGGGUGAAGCCAGAGGAAACUCUGGUGGAGGCUCGUAGCGAUUCUGACGUG